This 1405-nucleotide ribosomal RNA is filed under the name uncultured bacterium. RNAcentral's name for it is "bacterial SSU rRNA". It matches the Rfam family "Bacterial small subunit ribosomal RNA". The record is from RNAcentral.
AGAGUUUGAUCCUGGCUCAGGAUGAACGCUAGCGACAGGCUUAACACAUGCAAGUCGAGGGGCAGCGGGGGUGAUGGCUUGCCAUCACCUGCCGGCGACCGGCGCACGGGUGAGUAACACGUAUGCAACCUGCCCGCCACAGGGGGAUAAGCGGAAGAAAUUCCGUCUAAUACCGCGUGACGCGGCGUCGGGGCAUCCCGGUGCCGCCAAAGGGAUUACCGGUGGCGGAUGGGCAUGCGGCGCAUUAGCUAGUCGGCGGGGUAACGGCCCACCGAGGCGACGAUGCGUAGGGGUUCUGAGAGGAAGGUCCCCCACACUGGUACUGAGACACGGACCAGACUCCUACGGGAGGCAGCAGUGAGGAAUAUUGGUCAAUGGGCGGGAGCCUGAACCAGCCAAGUCGCGUGAGGGAUGACGGUCCUACGGAUUGUAAACCUCUUUUGCCGGGGAGCAAGCGUGCGUUCGUGAACGCGCGUCGAGAGUACCCGGAGAAAAAGCAUCGGCUAACUCCGUGCCAGCAGCCGCGGUAAUACGGAGGAUGCGAGCGUUAUCCGGAUUUAUUGGGUUUAAAGGGUGCGUAGGCGGGAUGCCAAGUCAGCGGUAAAAAUGCGGUGCUCAACGCCGUCGAGCCGUUGAAACUGGCGUUCUUGAGUGGGCGAGAAGUAUGCGGAAUGCGUGGUGUAGCGGUGAAAUGCAUAGAUAUCACGCAGAACUCCGAUUGCGAAGGCAGCAUACCGGCGCCCUACUGACGCUGAGGCACGAAAGCGUGGGUAUCGAACAGGAUUAGAUACCCUGGUAGUCCACGCAGUAAACGAUGAAUGCUAACUGUCCGGUGCGAGUGAGCGCUGGGCGGUACAGCGAAAGCGUUAAGCAUUCCACCUGGGGAGUACGCCGGCAACGGUGAAACUCAAAGGAAUUGACGGGGGCCCGCACAAGCGGAGGAACAUGUGGUUUAAUUCGAUGAUACGCGAGGAACCUUACCCGGGCUCAAACGCAGGAUGACGGGUCCCGAAAGGGGCCUUUCUUCGGACAUUCUGCGAGGUGCUGCAUGGUUGUCGUCAGCUCGUGCCGUGAGGUGUCGGCUUAAGUGCCAUAACGAGCGCAACCCCUGUCCACAGUUGCCAGCAGGUAAAGCUGGGGACUCUGUGGAGACUGCCGGCGCAAGCUGCGAGGAAGGCGGGGAUGACGUCAAAUCAGCACGGCCCUUACGUCCGGGGCGACACACGUGUUACAAUGGCAGGUACAGCGGGAUGCCACGGGGCGACCCGGCGCUGAACCCGAAAACCUGUCUCAGUUCGGAUUGGAGUCUGCAACCCGACUCCAUGAAGCUGGAUUCGCUAGUAAUCGCGCAUCAGCCACGGCGCGGUGAAUACGUUCCCGGGCCUUGCACACACCGCCCGUCAAG